This is a long non-coding RNA of Triticum aestivum (bread wheat), 1393 nucleotides long. RefSeq lists it as uncharacterized. The record is from RefSeq and is a predicted model, not a curated record. The transcript has 4 exons. Lineage: Eukaryota; Viridiplantae; Streptophyta; Magnoliopsida; Poales; Poaceae.
CGGCACUUUCCAAUUUUGCCCCCCGCGUCGCUCCACUCGCUCGCUCACCGCCCAGCCGCACUGCCCGCGCUCACUCUCUCCCACUCGCCCAGCCGCACUAGCCGGCCUCCCCGUCGCUCGCCGGCCUCCCCCCUCUCCCCGUAGCUCGCCGGCCUCCUCGUUGCUCGCCGGCCUUCCCGUCUCCCCGUAGCUCACCGGCCUCUCCCUCUUCCACCGCCACUUCUCCACCACCCCGCCUCCACUCACACCCCGGAGGUAAACAAAUUCCAAUCUUUUGCGCCGGCGACGAGCUUCUACUCCACGGAGGCGUGGAUGUGCAUGUGCUAGCGCUGGAUCUGGGCGACAGAGGCAUGGAUGUGGAGCGGCACCCGAGCGGCGGAUCUGGAGCGGUGCCGGAGCGGCGGAGCGGCGGAUCUGGAGCGACGUCGUCGUCGUCGUGGAGUAGCUGCUUCCUCCCGCGUGAAACUGGAGAACGAGAGGGAGGGGCAGAUGAUGGCCGCCAUCAUGGAUUUGAAUCUUCUGUUCUUACAUUGCUGUAGUACUGGCUGCAGUCUUGCUGUACAAUCACUUGAGGAAUUCAAGGCCUGAUGCGUCCUUCUGGGAGCCAUGGCUACUUCUUCCUGUGCCCUGCGUCAGGAGAAGGAGCACGCCCAGGAGAAGAAGGAUCGGGAGAAGGCCCUGAGGACCUGGGAUCGCUGCUGCUAGAUCUGGAUCUGGGACCUGGGACUGCUGCUGCCGCGUGCUCCUUCUGGGAGACGAGGACCCUCCUUGGCGCCCCUGGAUCGCUGCUGCUGGACGCCCCUGGAUCGCUGCUGCUGGACGCCCCUGGAUCGCUGCUGCUGGAGACGAGGACCUGGGCCUGGGAGCGCUGAGGAGAAGUAGGGGACCUGGGCCUGGGAGCGCCUGGGACCUGGGCGCGUGGAGGAGAAGCAGGGGCGGGCGGGCGGACGAUGGCCUGGCGGAGAAUUUCAAAUCCUCGGAUGGAGGAAGAAGACGAUGGGGAUACCGAUUCAUACUAGGGGCAGCGAUGUAAAUUCCACCGUUUUCACCUGGUCGGAACCAAUCCUCCAGCGACCUAUAUUUCGGAACGAAGGGAGUACAUCUUAAGACAGACGGUUAAUGUCAAAAAUGUUUUGCAUUUUGUGACAGAGGAAGUAUUUAUUUAUUAGCCAACCAGAGGAAGUACAUAUUAUUUGUGCAAAUUUCGGCUAGCAAGCUAGCAAUGCUCUAUUUCUUAGGUUCAUCAGAGAUGUACUGCUACGUUUACUUGACUUUCCCCCUCUAAGUUUUGGAUUGGGCUAAUAAUAUAGCUCUGCUCUCAAGGCCAAUUGCUGUAAAAAUUGUAGGAUUCUAAAUAUUUCUAUUGUUUUAUUGUUGUAUUAUAAUCUGCUUA